GUUGGUCUAUUUGAGGACACAAAUCUCUGUGCUAUUCAUGCCAAGAGGGUUACUAUUAUGCCUAAAGAUAUCCAGCUAGCAAGGAGGAUUAGGGGUGAGAGGGCGUAGAAGAGAUGAUUUAUAUAGUUAUGUGUUGGGUGUCCUCUUAGCUGGUGUUUGUAAAUUGUUUCCAAUCUAAUAGCUAAUUGGAUUUGAUGUUUGGACUCUCGUGUUGGUUCAAAAUGCUCAAUUAUAGUAGUAACCCUCUUGGC
This 251-nucleotide unclassified non-coding RNA is filed under the name Hevea brasiliensis (rubber tree). The record is from RNAcentral. Lineage: Eukaryota; Viridiplantae; Streptophyta; Magnoliopsida; Malpighiales; Euphorbiaceae.